This 467-nucleotide ribosomal RNA is filed under the name uncultured bacterium. Its description in RNAcentral is "partial 16S ribosomal RNA". It matches the Rfam family "Bacterial small subunit ribosomal RNA", at positions 28 to 506 of the family's 1533-position model. The record is from RNAcentral.
GACGAACGCUGGCGGCGUGCUUAACACAUGCAAGUCGAACGGAAAGGCCCUGCUUUUGUGGGGUGCUCGAGUGGCGAACGGGUGAGUAACACGUGAGUAACCUGCCCUUGACUUUGGGAUAACUUCAGGAAGCUGGGGCUAAUACCGGAUAGGAGCUCCUGCUGCAUGGUGGGGGUUGGAAAGUUUCGGCGGUUGGGGAUGGACUCGCGGCUUAUCAGCUUGUUGGUGGGGUAGUGGCUUACCAAGGCUUUGACGGGUAGCCGGCCUGAGAGGGUGACCGGCCACAUUGGGACUGGGGUACGGCCCAGACGCAUACGGGAGGCAGCAGUGGGGAAUAUGGCACAAUGGGCGGAGGCCUGAUGCAGCAACGCCGCGUGGGGGAUGACGGCCUUCGGGUGGUAAACCGCUUUCGCCUGUGACGAAGCGUGAGUGACGGUAAUGGGUAAAGAAGCACCGGCUAACUACGU